UUGCUUCGAUGUCUAUCU
RNAcentral lists this small nuclear RNA (18 nucleotides) under Arabidopsis thaliana (thale cress). Its description in RNAcentral is "snRNA_09953". Lineage: Eukaryota; Viridiplantae; Streptophyta; Magnoliopsida; Brassicales; Brassicaceae. The record is from RNAcentral.